RNAcentral lists this transfer RNA (85 nucleotides) under Clostridium beijerinckii. RNAcentral's name for it is "tRNA-Leu". It matches the Rfam family "tRNA". Rfam says of the family: Transfer RNA (tRNA) molecules are approximately 80 nucleotides in length. Their secondary structure includes four short double-helical elements and three loops (D, anti-codon, and T loops). Lineage: Bacteria; Bacillati; Bacillota; Clostridia; Eubacteriales; Clostridiaceae. The record is from RNAcentral. RNAcentral also lists the same sequence under 3 other names.
GCAGAUGUGGCGGAAUGGCAGACGCAUCAUCUUGAGGGGGUGACGAGGAAUCCUCGUGCGGGUUCAAGUCCCGCCAUCUGCACCA